This 1087-nucleotide ribosomal RNA is filed under the name uncultured bacterium. RNAcentral's name for it is "bacterial SSU rRNA". It matches the Rfam family "Bacterial small subunit ribosomal RNA", at positions 202 to 1295 of the family's 1533-position model. The record is from RNAcentral.
CAAAGGCUUGCCGCUAUAGGAUGGGGAUGCGUCUGAUUAGAUAGUAGGCGGGGUAACGGCCCACCUAGUCUACGAUCAGCAGGGGUUCUGAGAGGAAGGUCCCCCACACUGGAACUGAGACACGGUCCAGACUCCUACGGGAGGCAGCAGUGAGGAAUAUUGGUCAAUGGGCGAGAGCCUGAACCAGCCAAGUAGCGUGCAGGAUGACGGCCCUAUGGGUUGUAAACUGCUUUUAUAUGAGGAUAAAGUUCGUUACGUGUAACGUUUUGCAGGUAUCAUAUGAAUAAGGACCGGCUAAUUCCGUGCCAGCAGCCGCGGUAAUACGGAAGGUCCGGGCGUUAUCCGGAUUUAUUGGGUUUAAAGGGAGCGCAGACGGUCAGUUAAGCGUGCAGUUAAAUGAUGUGGCUCAACCAUGUUAUGCUGCGCGAACUGUCUGACUUGAGUUCACGGAACGUGGGCGGAAUUUGUGGUGUAGCGGUGAAAUGCUUAGAUAUCACGAAGAACUCCGAUUGCGAAGGCAGCCCGCGGCAGUGUUACUGACGUUCAUGCUCGAAGGUGCGGGUAUCGAACAGGAUUAGAUACCCUGGUAGUCCGCACGGUAAACGAUGGAUGCUCGCUGUCGGCGAUACAGUGUCGGCGGCCUAGUGAAAGCAUUAAGCAUCCCACCUGGGGAGUACGCCGGCAACGGUGAAACUCAAAGGAAUUGACGGGGGCCCGCACAAGCGGAGGAACAUGUGGUUUAAUUCGAUGAUACGCGAGGAACCUUACCCGGGCUUGAACUGCAGCGGAAGGAUACAGAGAUGUUGACGCCCUUCGGGGCCGCUGUGGAGGUGCUGCAUGGUUGUCGUCAGCUCGUGCCGUGAGGUGUCGGCUUAAGUGCCAUAACGAGCGCAACCCUUUUCUUCAGUUGCCAUCAGGUCAUGCUGGGCACUCUGGAGACACUGCCACCGUAAGGUGUGAGGAAGGUGGGGAUGACGUCAAAUCAGCACGGCCCUUACGUCCGGGGCUACACACGUGUUACAAUGGGUGGUACAGAGAGUCGGUCGUCUGCAAAUGCGAUCCAAUCCUUAAAGCCAUCCUCAGUUCG